Bombus pyrosoma is the source of this 8900-nucleotide long non-coding RNA. RefSeq lists it as uncharacterized. The record is from RefSeq and is a predicted model, not a curated record. The transcript is spliced from 18 exons. NCBI's taxonomy places the organism in Eukaryota, Metazoa, Arthropoda, Insecta, Hymenoptera, Apidae.
UUCAAGUUUACUAAUGGUAAGACACUUGAUUCCAUCUAUUAUUUAACAGUGAAAUUAUGGCAAUAUUUAUAAUACCUGAUAUUUUCCAGGACUUUACAAUGGCAGUUAAGAGUUAAGAAUCAUGUUGCUAAAGAUUGUGUGGUACAGUGUAUGUUCUAACUAUAAAGUUCAAAGGUCAGUAGCACAGAAGUCAUCGACAGUCGUGUACGUCAGACACGUUACGUCACUUCGAAUCGACGUUCUGCUAUUGUCACGCGUAUAUCUGCGCAUUCACGAGCAAUUACCCGGGGUGGGGUAAUCCCGUUAGGCGACGUACAGCUUCUACGGGGGAGGAUCAAAGGACUCGCUAUUCCAAGCUGCUGCACUCUUUGGUUGUUCCAGUCGUCGCUACAAUGCUACUGGGGCUUGCAAGAAGGGGAAUCAUCCACGUCUACGUCGUUCUUCGACUUUGUUGGAACUUUGGGCAACUUCCUAAUGCACACUUCUGUUCAACCAGCGUCGCUACGCAGCUUCGUACAAUUAUCGUUACUAUUCCGUUUCCGUACCUUUCCCAUAUUUUUAGCCCUUUAUAUCUGAAUUUCCGGAUUCGUUUUUCUGCCACAAGGGUUACCAAAUCCUCUUGAUAUUGUUUUUGCAUCGUUGUUGGAAUGUUUUGAAUCGAGGUAGAUUUGCAUAAUACAUUUUGAAUUUCUAUGGAAUUAGAAAAUGGGUGGGCUUUUAGAUCUUUAUGAUGUGGCGAAGAUUAAAAUGGUAAAGAAUUCUUACUGGAACUGGACCUAUCAGAGAUAUUUUGGAUAUUUUGUUCUCACGAUUAGUAAAAAUAUUCAGGUAUCUACCAUUAUCAAGACCAACGCUAAUAUUUUAAUAAGUGCUGAAACUUGAAAGGAAACAUUUAUAUCGGAAAUUAACUUGGAUUCAGAAACUGACGCGGCACACGCUAAAUCUUCUGUACUUAUACGGUUAGCAGAGAACGUGGCAGCGCGGUAGAAAAAUUCUGCAAAGCGACACGAGACGGCAAUCGCUUAAUUGUGAUUAAUUGCGGUUUUACCAGGAAAAGAUCGCGUUGUAACGCGCGGCCCGAUUAGCCGGCGCGAGUCGCUCAAGCGAUUCGCUUGCUCGCGCAACAUUAAAGAGCCAGUUGCGUGCGAUGGUUGUUUCCUUACUUUCACGCAUCGUAUCGAAACUAUAGCCCUCUUGAUUUCUCAGCCAUUCUACUCGAUCGUGCAUGCUGAUCCUUUUUCACGAUAACGGUUAAGACCAUCCUCUUUCUACCUCUGGCUGGCCGCCGCAAAUAACUUUAUUGCGGCAAUUAAAAUUAUCGCUGUCCCGAUUAAAUCAUCUGUUUUCCAGAUUAACACACGCACAAAUGUGCUGUCUCUUUUGGAGUUUACUCUUUUGGAGAAGAUCCAAUAUUCUGUACAAAUAUUUUCUUUAGGUUUUUGAUGCUUCCUAAUACUAUUUACCUUACAAGUUUUUGCUAGGAACCAGAUUAGUUCUUUAGAAGGCUCUGUAAUUAUAUCAUUCUUAAUGUUAAUGUCAAAGGAAAAUGUCCCAUGAACCGCAAUAUAAUUUGCCUGCAUCACGUUCAAGAUGAAUACUAUAUAUAAGCUUACGGUACGAUGGAAGGAGGAAAGUUUCGAUGCCUAUUGCUGCGACAUCCGGUUUCCGGGCAAGUGAAAUGGCGAAUGGAAUAAUUUAAUAUAGGGGCGAUACAAGGGCCAAAGCGAUCGGUCUAAUCGUGUCUGAACGAGGUUAAAACACCGGCACCCGCCGCUCUUAUUUACGUCCGACAAUAAGUCAAUUCAUCACUCUGCGAUUUGGCCUUAAGUGGUAUCACUGACUCAUACACACAGCCGUCUGGAGCGGUGUGCCUAUUUCGGGCAUAAAUCACUGUUGCCCGUGCGGUGCGUAAUAAUGAACAAGCGAGCGUAGCACGCGACCCUUUAAACGUGCUGGCUGGAAAACGAGUGGCUCGUAAGGUAGCAGGGAUUAGCUUUGGUCCCUAUGUGUCCCUGCUUAAUCCUGAAAAUGUUACGGGCCGCGAAAUUCUUCGCCCGUAUCAGGUCACGUAAAAAUGCAAUUUUACGAGUACGUAGGUUUACAAACUAGGGGCCAGACUAUGCAGAUAACAAUGAAGAUAAAGAAAUGGAUUUUUAUUGCUUGAUAAAUUGGUAAAGCUAACGUACAAUCAGUUUAGAUAUUUUAGAAGUAUCGCGAUCGAAGGAAUAUUUUUAUAACGGUAACUGUAGAAUUUGAAUUGCCAGGGCAAAAUUGUUUCUAGUAAACGCAUGCAGUCGGUGAUGCAAUUGCGCUCAUGCGAAGCGCGUUUGCUCAGACAAAUAGAAGAUACCAGGGAAGAUACCACUUUUAUCGUAGUACCGUGCAAUUAUUUACGUUUAAGCUUUAAUUCGUGUUAAGUUGUUGGUAAGCAAGUAACAAAUAAAUAAUUAAUCAGCGAAGAACUUGAUUAAUAAUUAGUUCUGUAUGUUAAGAGGCACCAUAGGCAGUUAAUGAAGGGUAGAAUACUCUGGCAAUAUAAAAAUACACCGAAGAAACGUCUAUUACGUCUGUUACACCAGCUGAUGAUUAACAUAGAAUGUCUAUGACUUUUCUAUCUAGUCGUCGUCCACGUAAGACCCAAAGUCCUUUACCGAAGGUACGAAGUAUAAAAACUAUAUUGCAGUGGCAAUGUCAGGAGUCGCGACAUUUUAGCCGAAUGGCAGCGGGAGACGCGGAUAAACCAGGAAGUACGGGGAACCGACCGGAUCCGGCGAAGUUCUGGCACGGAUUUCGUUCACAGGCUCGUGGCCCACGGCCACGAAAACCCGGGAGACAUGGAUCGUGGGCAACAAGUCACCGGGAAACGGCGCGUGACCGCCACAUUCACGCUGCCAGAUUUACGACAAUAAAAAUGGGCGCCGCCGAAUGGAGGAUCGUCCUUUCGCCGGCCUGUAUCGAGGAAUCGAUUCGCUUUAUCGGGCAACAAUUACGACACCGCAACGGCAAUCACCAUGUUUCAAAGGAUGACUUCGAUGUAGAAACGAUUAUCUUGAUCAGAGUAAUUAGCAGAUUGCUUGGGCUCAGAAACCUCGUGUCACAUUUGGAUUCGAUACAUUGAUGGCCAAUGUGCUUGAAGAAGGGUUGCUGCAAGGAUACAAGGAUAUAAGAAUGGCUGGAUCGGCAUCGGUCGUGUCUCAGCCACAAUAUUAUUCUUCCAGCCGAUACAACGUUUGGAUGGAAUGGGAAUGACGAAAGAAACAUUUUGCAAAUUGGACAAUUUUAACGAAGUACUUUACAUCAGUAUCUAUGUAUCAGUGGAUUCUUGAGGAUGCCGGCUAAAAUACUUGCGAGACGUUGGAUUAUUUCUUUGCAGAAGAUACAUCUGUCAUUAGGCUUGAACUGCGAUGUUUUAGAAGCUUUUAUCCGCCCAGGAACAGCUUAUAUUCACAAAAGUACUUUGGAUUCCCAGAGUCUACCCUGCAACAUUCUGUGACCUUUCAUCCAUCCAAGAGGAGUCUACAUCCGCAAAAAGCAGGCGAUCAUCAUUCUUCAAGCACCUUCUCAUAUCUGGUUUCCCAAGUUUCACCAUGUUCGUCUUCCAUGAUAAUGCUACAACUACCAAUGAAAAAACCAUGAAACACGCAAAUCUAUGAAAUUUCAAUGAAAAAUUACAAACUGGUAGUUCUAGUAUCGAAACGUUCUACGCAACAAACCAAUCUACCAACCCUCCCACCCAACUACCUUCCACAAAGGACUAACUCUUCCAGGCGAAUCAACGCAUGGACAAACGUUACAACCAUAAACAUCCAAACGAAGUCUCACCGUUGUUUGCUUACCUUUCACCUCCCUCUACUCUUUCAACCAGAGGCCUGAUUUCAAUUCACCGUUGAAUCACGGUAACCUGACGUUCGAUUGCACUUUUUCAAACGCCCAUUACCCCGGAGAUCCGGCGUGGAGGGUGGCCAGGUCGUUACCUAUGGGUGUCGAGGUGGUAUGAUAGUCACGGCAUACGUGAUCAGGCGCGUGAGCGAACUGCCAAGGCACGCGUCGCCGUGCCGGAGUACGUAAUUAUCAUAGGGAAGUUAGGGUUGCCUUCGGAUACACAUACACGUAUACACAUGUGUAAAUACAUAUGUAUACGUAUGUGUGCACAGAUGUAGGAAUAUAUGUACACGUGGGAGAGAGGUCGAGGGUUGGUCGACUUGGGUCAGCAAGUCACGCGAGGCACGCUCGUGGCGGACGUGGAAACAGGGAGGAGUACUUUUAUUGUUCUACCAGUUGUCUUAGAGUCGCUUUUCCUGGCCACUGGGCAGACUGGUUGAGAACGGAGGUCGAUAUCUAUGCCUGGACGAACCUUUUACCCUCGUGCAUGCCUGUUCCUUUCGUGGAACAUGUCUGACCUUUCGUGUGACUUCUCGAUCGCCAAUUUUUUGAGUACUUUCAAACUGCCGUACAGAUGUGGAGAACUGCAUGAACGUUUCGGAUCGAAGAUCGAAGCGGAAGAUUUUUGAUUUUGAAGAUAACGCGGAGAAUUUCUUUCUGGAAAAUUUGUCAUGUGCUAUAGAUAUGAUUUAAAAGUCAAUUAUUCUUGUCGUUGAAUCGUAGUAGAAAUUAGUAAGACGAUAAUGAUCGAUAAUAAUAAGAUUCUAAAUCUAAAGUGGAUUUCCUUUUGUAGGGAAUUUUUGUGCGGUGUCGAAGAAUAAGCGUAAAAGGUAAAUGUUGGAGCUGAUAAUAUUGCAGAGCAACACGAAUAUUCGCCUAUGGUUACGCAACAGAGUCGCCAGUUUCUUCUGAAGAAAUCGCGUGAACAAAAUGCGCCGUGGAGCUUCCUUCCAUCGAUAAGAAGUAUACAAGCGUAAUCCACCAUAAGUUUCGGCGAACACGCGAUCAACGUUAAUGACUCUGCUCGAAUUACCACGGGGAACAUAUAUAAGUAUCUGGAAUAUUCGUUUAUGGCCUAGUGAACCUAUCGUUGGAUAAUUUAUCACUAGACAGCGGAUUUCUGACGCAUUUGUACGAAAUUUAAAUAUGCAAAAAUGCACAGAACGCAUAUAAUAUAUAGAGAUACAUAUGUAAAAUAUUUAAAGUAGAGCAUUUGUUUUAAUGUUCAAAAGUCUAUUCAUCACCAUCCACGACCUCGAAGAAAUGGAGAGAGUAUCGAAGAAGAUAUCGUCAUAUCGUUGGAAACGCAUUCUAAAUUAUUUUCGAGAGAAAGGAAUAUUAUUAGAAGAAGAGCAAAUUAAUUUGGCCUGUGAGAGGUGUGCGGACGAAAGGGUAGCUUGUAAUUUCAAUUUGACGCGAGAGCCACAAAGUGGCCCGGGGCCAACACGCGUCGUCGCGUAAUUUCAUGAGGUUCCUGCUGACGAUGGUUUCGUUCCCUUUCGCGUUGCCCCGUGAUGUGUAAACCGAGUCAAAGGAAGUUGGCUACGAUCAGAACGAUGUUGACGAUUUGCGAGCUUGCUGGAGACGUUGAUGCGUGAAAUGAUAAAAGGCGAGGUGUAGAGAUUGAGUAAGCUAGGAUUUUGUAGUGUAAUAACAGGAGGUGCUCGGUCACCGGUUUGAGAGAAAUUUUGGCUAACUCAGAGUUUGCUAGCUUUUACAAUAAACAAUGAAUGUUAUAAGACUUCUGGAAUUUUAAUUUCUCUUGUGUUUCCAGUUGAAAGCUGAGGAAUGCGUUGAUUUAUUACUAACGUGUUUGAUAAAAUUAGUGAUAAGUAGUUGUAAUUGAUUUUUGUAUCAAUUUGUCAUACAUUUUUCUACUUUACUUUAUUUUUUAAUGAUAAUAUCACUCGUUCCAUUUUCAGGUAUCAAGAUACAUUUGAAGUUUAUUUGGUGGAAGUUUCUAUCUAUACUUUUUCUAUUCAAAUCUGUAAGAUAUCAAUCAAACUGAAAACAACCAUAAUAAGAGAAAAGUAUUAAUUUGUGAUCACAGAGUCGUGUGCUUAAAGAAUUGAGAAGUUUUGAUUUGAAAAUGCUAUCGCUGCGUGUACGAUCCGCACGUGCGAACGAGACCAUCAAUUCCCUCUUUGACAACUGAUCCAUGGUGAUUGCAAUCUAACGAGGCGUCGAAACCACAAGCCGUUUACAUCAAACCACCCCAAGCUAAACCUCUGAACUCCACGAAAUGAUUGUGUCACUACGUAUUCCGUCGAACUGGCCAAUGUACCAAAUUAACGUGCAAUCUUUCUGAGGAAGCCAUUUCGACAAAUCGACGAACUACAAUUUCAAGAAACUUACACAGCAACAGGAACGUUCUAAGACCUAUGAACCUCAAGUCGAAACGAUUGUUCCUACUACGAACCACUCCAAACGUCCGAAAGAGCUGGCGACGUGGCGUGGCUCCAGCCUCCUUUGUACGAACUGCUGGCAUCUGUAACGUGAAGGAAAAAAGAAGCUCGCAUAAAUACGAAUCACAGAAUCUUCAAAAUAAAUCUUUCAAUACGCAGACGUCAUAAUUUCAAUGAAAAUAACAGUUUACAACACAAUGUUAAAAGAAAAGCAGCACAUCGAUCGAGCUAUAAAAUGCAACCCAGGCACGUGUUACAUUCGCUUCGCGAUCCCUCACGAGAGAUUACACAAUUUUCUUUUUCUCUGUUUUUUAGGUCAAGUUAUUAGAAGACGUAUACCGUCUGCAAUUGCAAGGUAAUCAGUUCUGUGAAUCGCUUGGUGGCCGUAAAGUAUAUCUGAUCGCAGGUUUCCAGCGAGUUUCGUUGAAAAACAAUUCCUUAAGAAAAUCUUUACGACCCCUUAACGAUACACCGCCUUCUUCCAAGUCCGUGUACCUUGGAAAAUACGAUCCACCGGCCUCGACGAUCGAUUAAAAUCACUUUUCGCGUGGCGAGAAGACGGUGCUUCCGAAGUUUGCGUUCCGAUCGUCGGAAAGAUCGAGGCUGAACAGUUUCUUCGAUUAUCGUUAGAAUGGCUCAAAAUUACCGAGUGACAUUUGUUAUAAUAUUCUGUCCAUUGCCAUCUUCUUACAUUUGUGGUCCAACGUCGCGUCAUACUGUGGCUGACUGCUCUAUGUAUUUUUCAACAGAUUAAAAUACCUUUCCUAAUUCUUAGAUAUCAAAUUUCCACAUUACAUUUAGUUUAUCGCGAUACUACGCAAACACCUAUAUGCGUUACAUAAAUGAAAUUUAUAUUUUUGCUAACAAAAUAUAUUUAUAUACUUAUAUAUUUGCUAUCAACAUGCAACACUAUUUUAAACAAAUACAAAUAAAAUAGAACAAUCACACUCUGAUGUGAUAUUGGGUGAUAUUGGACCAUAAAUACAAGAAGAUGAGCAGAAGAAUUUUGGUAAGAAAUGGUACUGAUUGUAUAAGAAUGAAUUUAUAAGAAUACCAUAUGGCGGUAUCCAAAUAUUAAUGCGAAUCACUGUACCGUUUUUUAUUAUAUUUUCCAAAUACUGAAAUACUGUACCUAUAUUCUAUAUAUGUAUACCUAUCUAAAAUCUGCUAUAUUUAUCCGAACACCUAUAUUUAUCUAAGAUAUUUAUGUUAACACUGCUGUCACGAUGGUGAUCGAAACGCGUGCACGGUAUUGGUUUCAGGGACGUCGCGAUCAUCCCUUAGGAACCUUCGGUCGAUUCUUCCGGCGGUGUUUCGAGCGCCGCCGGUCUGUUUGCAGACAGAUAUAUUUUCAUUUGGCAGUUAUUGGCACGAGGGUGGCUCCCAUGUGUAUACACACGCGGUACGGUACGUCAUGCUCGCAGAAAGUCCGUCUUUCUGUGCAAACAGAAGGCCUAGGUGUACGAAACGAGUCAACCUUUCGUCUUUACUGCCCCCUUCAUUUGAUCUGGAGACCAUGCUCCAUUAAUAGGGCCUCGGAUUUCACGUUCACGAAAACGUCAGGGACUAUUGAUGCGCUAAUGUACCGCUCCAGCCUGGGAAUCGUCUACUUUCUUCCAAUUACCUGCUCUCUUCUCUGGCUUUUCCAGUUACAUCUAUUCGCAUUAGAGGGGAGAGCUUCUCUUUUUUAAAGGAUCCUCGCCACCUUUUUAGAUAAAAUACUAGCAAAUUUCAUUAUAAAGUUAGCGAAGAGUAAAAGAAGGAGCCUCGAGCGGUUCAAGGAGGACUAGAAUCAGCUUGUCUUAUUCGCCACGAAGAACUUUAUCGUCCAGAGUCUGUGAAUCUCUUUAUUAAGAAACUGAAAGGUGUCUCUAAAUCAACCUCUUCAGCAUCAAACACGAAAGAGAGAACAGAGAGUACCGUUGGAAAAGUCAACUUAUUCUCUUUUGUUAUUUCGAUACAUUCACUUGUCGUGAGGUUCCAUGCACACCAUACAGCGUCAAACGAGAUCAUAGUGUCACGUGGUCGCACAUGGAUCAUCGCUGGAUUUAGAUCAUCGUUAUCGAUCCUUUUAUAUCUCGAUCUUGUUCUUACUUUUGCGAACGAAAAGAAUUUAUAACGUUUUAAAAAAGUGUUUAACGUAAAAUUGGAACAAGAAAUCUAUUAAUAAAUAUAUUUAUAAGACUUUCUUUUAGCGUUACUCAAACAAUCUCGCAAUAACGAAGUAUCGAUGACUAUGACAAAAGAAUCUCUGAACUAAAAAAAAGGAGCACGAUAGGAAGAAACGCUACAAUUUUAUAACAAACAAUAUUUGAUCGAAAUGAUGAAUAAACGUGAUAGGUAUGACUUUCAGAAUUGAAAAUACAAAAAUAUUCUAAAAAUGUCAGAAGAAGGAUCGAAUAGAUUUCUCGACCAGGUCGUAUCAGGUCAAUUAAUUUCAAACUAGAUUAAUAUUUCGAUCGAUCGUAAACUACAGUUGCUACACUGUUUACAGAAUCAGCUGCCAACGGAUCAACAUCACCAGAUUAAUGGAGCGCAUGGGGGCCCAAACCAAAGCCAGCGUCGCAUAAAAUAAAGAACCGCGCAAAGCUCAACGUGUUUCACAUACGCAAA